Long non-coding RNA from Sinocyclocheilus grahami, 1380 nucleotides. RefSeq lists it as uncharacterized. The record is from RefSeq and is a predicted model, not a curated record. The transcript has 3 exons. Lineage: Eukaryota; Metazoa; Chordata; Actinopteri; Cypriniformes; Cyprinidae.
AAACAGUGACAGCCACAUUGCAACAUAGCAUAUAAUAUACAAUGUAUACACUAUAGUUGUUGUUGUAGUUAUACAGGCCGGUCUGUUCCAGUUCAUGCAUUGCUUAGUGACAUGCAACACUUCAUACUUUGGCUUAUUUUGGGACUAUCUUCAUUGGUGGAACAGGCCAAGAUUUUGAUCACAAGUUUAUUAUUAAAAGCAACUUCACAUUCACACAAUAUCAGCAUCAGUCAUUUACAAAACAAAAACUGUCCUUCUGUACAUUUGGAACUAACUUGUUCUUGAGUAAACACCUUGUGUGCCUUGUUGUUUACUUCGAGUCCAUAGCAUUCUGUCCAUCAACUUGAGACUUCUAGAUCUAAGGUGGUGGGCUGCUUAUAAUGAUUCCUCUCACAGUCGCAUCCGCUCGUCACCAGACUUCUGAUGGCAUCAUUAUGUGGCCAGCGUUACGCGUCGCUCUCAUUCGCGUCAUGAUUGAUUGAUCUUGGUUUUGGUUACCCCUCCGCGCUCUGUUCCGUUUGCAGUACAAGUGCGAAUCAGCAUAAUUGCACUAAUUACGGCCAAUUUCUCCGUGAAUGGAGCCGCUGUCAAAUCCGACAGCAGACGAGGGACAAGAAUAUCUCACGGUCCUUAUAAACGAGAUGAAAGGGGACGAAAACACCCCGUGAACAAGCCAUUGAGUGCGAGAGCAGGAUUGCAAUUUAAAGCACCGAGGGAGGAGGAGAAAAGAAGGGAACAUGCGGAGAUUUUAGAGCGGAAUCAAGUACCCAGCUCACGGAGGUAGCGGGCAACCCCAUUCAGCGCGUCGCAUCUCUACCGGGGGCGCAAAUUCCGCUUGACAGCCAUUACCCCGAGAGCCCGAGUCGCCCCCCUUCAAGUGUCUUCCUCUGACAACGGUUACCAGCGUGCAUUCCUUCUGCUGCAAUUAGGCCUUUAUUUAUCACCUCUUCAGAGCUGAGUAAACAAACGUAAUGUGCGGAAAUCACUGGAUAAUUAUUAUCCCAGGGUGCGCAUUAUGGGGGUUUGGGGGGUCUGACCCCCCUAAUUAAGGCUUGAACCCACAAAGCCAGUCAAAAUAAAAGAAUGGGGGGUCUAAGAAGACCGAAUAAUAUAUUGCUAUUUGUUUAUUUAUUUUUUUCUGCUGCAUUUUAAAAUAACAUUUAAGUAAAACACAAAGUUAAUCAAGUUAAGGUGGGAAUACACAAUACAACUUUUUACAAAUUUCGCAGAAAGUCGCGUAGAGACUGAUGGGCACCAACUCAGAUUUUUUUUAGCUUCAAUCCAGUCGGAGACAUCAAGCAUGCUUGAUAUUUUGGGACUAUUUUAGACACAUAAGGUGCGUCCCCAUUUGCGUACUUAUACACUAUUCUAUGUUAUUUU